This 478-nucleotide ribosomal RNA is filed under the name uncultured bacterium. RNAcentral's name for it is "bacterial SSU rRNA". It matches the Rfam family "Bacterial small subunit ribosomal RNA", at positions 328 to 793 of the family's 1533-position model. The record is from RNAcentral.
UCAGUCGACUCCUACGGGGAGGCAGCAGUGGGGGGAAUAUUGCACAAUGGGCGCAAGCCUGAUGCAGCCAUGCCGCGUGUGUGAAGAAGGACCUUCGGGUUGUAAAGCACUUUCAGCAGUGAGGAAGGCGGAGUCGUUAAUAGCGGCCUCGUUUGACGUUAGCUGCAGAAGAAGCACCGGCUAACUCCGUGCCAGCAGCCGCGGUAAUACGGAGGGUGCGAGCGUUAAUCGGAAUUACUGGGCGUAAAGCGCAUGCAGGUGGUUUGUUAAGUCAGAUGUGAAAGCCCGGGGCUCAACCUCGGAAUAGCAUUUGAAACUGGCAGACUAGAGUACUGUAGAGGGGGGUAGGAAUUUCAGGUGUAGCGGUGAAAUGCGUAGAGAUCUGAAGGAAUACCGGUGGCGAAGGCGGCCCCCUGGACAGAUACUGACACUCAGAUGCGAAAGCGUGGGGAGCAAACAGGAUUAGAUACCCUGGUAG